CGGGGUGUAGCGCAGGUGGUAGCGCACUUGACUGGGGGUCAAGGGGCCGCAGGUUCAAGUCCUGUCACUCCGACCA
RNAcentral lists this transfer RNA (76 nucleotides) under Eubacterium sp. Its description in RNAcentral is "tRNA-Pro". It matches the Rfam family "tRNA". Rfam says of the family: Transfer RNA (tRNA) molecules are approximately 80 nucleotides in length. Their secondary structure includes four short double-helical elements and three loops (D, anti-codon, and T loops). Lineage: Bacteria; Bacillati; Bacillota; Clostridia; Eubacteriales; Eubacteriaceae. The record is from RNAcentral. RNAcentral also lists the same sequence under 7 other names.